Neopsephotus bourkii (Bourke's parrot) is the source of this 562-nucleotide long non-coding RNA. RefSeq lists it as uncharacterized. The record is from RefSeq and is a predicted model, not a curated record. The transcript is spliced from 4 exons. NCBI's taxonomy places the organism in Eukaryota, Metazoa, Chordata, Aves, Psittaciformes, Psittacidae.
AGUGCCAGAAGACUAUAACCAGAAGUGGAUUGCUGGAUGAUGUUUAUUAUCAUGUGUUACUUUACCACGUCUUCACUUAUCCACAUUCUCAGCACGUCUGCAAUCUGUGCCACUUUUCCUUCCUUUUGGAGCUGAAGGAUGCCUGGGAAAAGUUUAUUUGGACUUACAUUGUUCCCUCCCUGUUUUCUCUGCUGAGACUGCAGUUGUUCGGGGAUGUUCAUGGUAAGCUUUAUUUCUAAGCAACUUCUACAUGGGCCAUGGUCACCAAUGGAUUGACACCUACUUGAGCAUCACCUUGGGAGGAUUGUGAUGGAGCAACCUGGGCUCUUUGGUGAUACAGGACAUUGGCAGCUGUAGCAGAAAACUUCAGGUUCUCUUAACAAAUGACAGGAACAGAGGGAUAAUGCCAGUGUGAAAUCAGUAACCACAUAUAAACUUCUCAUGGAGAUCAGCUGGGACCUCAUGGCAGAAACCUCAUUUAAAACAACCGCUAAUGACUUCACCUUGGGCCAAGUCACAGCACAGCAACCACCUCCUCCUCCUCCUCCAGCCCUGCUGGGAG